Molecule: ribosomal RNA, 478 nt
Filed under: uncultured bacterium
Lineage: Bacteria
Description: partial 16S ribosomal RNA
Rfam family: Bacterial small subunit ribosomal RNA
Source: RNAcentral
GAUGAACGCUGGCGGCGUGCUUAACACAUGCAAGUCGAACGGGAAACCUUUUAUUGAAGCUUCGGCAGAUUUAGCUGGUUUCUAGUGGCGGACGGGUGAGUAACGCGUGGGUAACCUGCCUUAUACAGGGGGAUAACAACCAGAAAUGGUUGCUAAUACCGCAUAAGCGCACAGGACCGCAUGGUCCGGUGUGAAAAACUCCGGUGGUAUAAGAUGGACCCGCGUUGGAUUAGCUAGUUGGCAGGGUAACGGCCUACCAAGGCGACGAUCCAUAGCCGGCCUGAGAGGGUGAACGGCCACAUUGGGAGUGAGACACGGCCCAGACUCCUACGGGAGGCAGCAGUGGGGAAUAUUGCACAAUGGGGGAAACCCUGAUGCAGCGACGCCGCGUGAAGGAAGAAGUAUCUCGGUAUGUAAACUUCUAUCAGCAGGGAAGAUAGUGACGGUACCUGACUAAGGAGCCCCGGCUAAGUACGUG